AGUGAACGCUGGCGGCAGGCCUAACACAUGCAAGUCGAACGGCAGCACCGUAAGAGCUUGCUCUUACGGGUGGCGCGUGGCGGACGGGUGAGGAAUACAUCGGAAUCUACUUCUUCGUGGGGGAUAACGUAGGGAAACUUACGCUAAUACCGCAUACGACCUACGGGUGCAAGCAGGGGAUCUUCGGACUUUUUGCGAUUGAAUGAGCCGAUGUCGGCUUAGCUAGUUAGCGGGGUAAAGGCCUACCAAGGCGACGCUCCGUAACUGGUAUGACAGGGUGAACAAACAGACUGUAAGAGAGAAACAGUCCACACACCUACAGGGAGCAGCAGCGGAGAAUAUUGGACAAUGGGCGCAAGCCUAAUCCAGCCAAACCGCGUGGGUCAAGAAGGACUUCUGGUUGGAAAGCCCUUUUGUUAGGAAGGAAAAGCAGCACGUUAAUACCCCGCUGUUCUGACGGUACCCAAAGAAUAAGCACCGGCUAACUUCGUG
This 492-nucleotide ribosomal RNA is filed under the name uncultured bacterium. RNAcentral describes it as "partial 16S ribosomal RNA". It matches the Rfam family "Bacterial small subunit ribosomal RNA", at positions 29 to 507 of the family's 1533-position model. The record is from RNAcentral.